GCAUGUGUGAAGUUAAUCUGGCUAUCACCUCUGUCGCCCUGGUCACUGGGAUUGAUUUGACUGACUUUGAUGGAUAGGCAGGUGCCCUUCCCCUCUCACCACACCUUGUAUAUUCCUUCCAAACAUGUAUGCUCAGUGGAUGAUGAUGCUCUUCCCAAGUGGAAAGUCAUUCUUCUAUCCAGAGGACAGUAAUGACCUCCAGCAAGCUCUCAGGGAAGUAAGUCACUGGUGGAGAACCCCGUGGUUGCCUUGUUCUGGCUCCUACCCGUCUUU
Molecule: small RNA, 273 nt
Filed under: Mus pahari (shrew mouse)
Lineage: Eukaryota; Metazoa; Chordata; Mammalia; Rodentia; Muridae
Description: sRNA (MGP_PahariEiJ_G0008249.1)
Rfam family: 7SK RNA (bases 5-193)
About the family: 7SK was discovered as an abundant small nuclear RNA in the mid-70s but a possible function has only recently been suggested.
Source: RNAcentral